AUACGGAGGGUGCAAGCGUUAAUCGGAAUUACUGGGCGUAAAGCGCGCGUAGGCGGAUGAUUAAGUCAGUUGUGAAAGCCCUGGGCUCAACCUAGGAACUGCAUCUGAUACUGGUCGUCUAGAGUUUAAGAGAGGGAGGUGGAAUUCCAGGUGUAGCAGUGAAAUGCGUAGAUAUCUGGAGGAACAUCAGUGGCGAAGGCGACUUCCUGGCUUAAAACUGACGCUGAGGUGCGAAAGCGUGGGUAGCGAACGGGAUUAGAAACCCUAGUAGUCC
This 274-nucleotide ribosomal RNA is filed under the name uncultured bacterium. Its description in RNAcentral is "partial 16S ribosomal RNA". It matches the Rfam family "Bacterial small subunit ribosomal RNA", at positions 523 to 796 of the family's 1533-position model. The record is from RNAcentral.